Rhodocollybia butyracea is the source of this 95-nucleotide non-coding RNA. The record is from the annotation of a GenBank genome assembly. Lineage: Eukaryota; Fungi; Basidiomycota; Agaricomycetes; Agaricales; Omphalotaceae.
UCCUUCUUAGCUCAGUUGGUAGAGCGCGUCACUAGUAUGGGAGCUAAAGAAAAUGGCUGAUGACGAGGUCAGUCGUUCAAGUCGGCUAGAAGGAA